This 506-nucleotide ribosomal RNA is filed under the name uncultured bacterium. Its description in RNAcentral is "partial 16S ribosomal RNA". It matches the Rfam family "Bacterial small subunit ribosomal RNA", at positions 29 to 523 of the family's 1533-position model. The record is from RNAcentral.
CGUGAACGCUGGCGGUAGGCCUAACACAUGCAAGUCGAACGGCAGCACUAGAGAGCUUGCUCCCUGGGUGGCGAGUGGCGGACGGGUGAGGGAUACAUCGGAAUCUACUCUGCCGGGGGGGACAAGGUAGGGAAACGUACGCUAAUACCGCAUACGACCUACGGGUGAAAGCAGGGGAUCUUCGGGCCUUGUGCGAUGUGAUCCGCCGAGGUCGGAUUAGCUAGUUGGCGGGGUAAAGGCACACCAAGGCGACGAUCCGUAGCUGGUCUGAGAGGAUGAUCAGCCACACUGGAACUGAGAAACGGUCCAGACACCUAGGGGAGGCAGCAGGGGGGAAUAUUGGACAAUGGGCGCAAGCCUGAUCCAGCCAUACCGCGUGGGUGAGGAAGGCCUUCGGGUUGUAAAGCCCUUUUGUUGGGAAAGAAAUCCAGCUGGCUAAUACCCGGUUGGGAUGACGGUACCCAAAGAAUAAGCACCGGCUAACUUCGUGCCAGCCGCCGCAGUAA